RNAcentral lists this ribosomal RNA (483 nucleotides) under uncultured bacterium. RNAcentral describes it as "partial 16S ribosomal RNA". It matches the Rfam family "Bacterial small subunit ribosomal RNA", at positions 29 to 506 of the family's 1533-position model. The record is from RNAcentral.
AUUGAACGCUGGCGGCAGGCCUAACACAUGCAAGUCGAGCGGAUGAAGGGAGCUUGCUCCUGGAUUCAGCGGCGGACGGGUGAGUAAUGCCUAGGAAUCUGCCUGGUAGUGGGGGAUAACGUCCGGAAACGGGCGCUAAUACCGCAUACGUCCUGAGGGAGAAAGUGGGGGAUCUUCGGACCUCACGCUAUCAGAUGAGCCUAGGUCGGAUUAGCUAGUUGGUGGGGUAAAGGCCUACCAAGGCGACGAUCCGUAACUGGUCUGAGAGGAUGAUCAGUCAAACUGGAAGUGAGAAACGGUCCAGACUCCGAGGGGAGGCAGGAGUGGGGAAUAUGGGACAAUGGGCGAAAGCCUGAUCCAGCCAGGCCGGGUGUGGGAAGAAGGUCUUCGGAUUGUAAAGCACUUUAAGUUGGGAGGAAGGGCAGUAAGGUAAUACCUUGCUGUUUUGACGUUACCAACAGAAAAAGCACCGGCUAACUGCGU